GGAAUAAAAUUAUUUAUUUAUUUAUUUUAGUAGUUUAAUGAAAUUGUUUUUUGUGUUUAAGUAUUUUUGUAGAAUAAAUUUUUUUUUAUUAUAUGUUAUUAGUAAUGUAAAUGGUUUUUUGUUCUUUAAAAAAGUAGAAUUUGUUUUUUGUACCUUGUGUAUCAGGGUUAAUUAAUUUAAUUAUGUAUAUUUAUUUCUCGAAUUAAGAAGAGCUAAAUUUAUAUUUAUUUAUUGUUAUAUAAAUAUGAUUAAUAUAAAUUUAGAAAUUAAAUGUUAUUCGUUUCUUAAGAUAUCUAGUUUUUUCAGAAUUAAAUUUAAUUUACUUUUUAUUAUUAAUUUAAUUAUUUUUUUGGUUUAAUUAAUUUUUAUUAAGAAUAUUUAAAGGGAUAAGCUUUUAGAUUUUUUUAAAAGUUUAAUUUUAUUUUUAUUAGUUGUAGGGUUAGAAUUAUCCUUUAAAAAUGAUGUUAUAAUCAGUUUUGAAAUUAAGUUUAUUUAAUUAUUCUUUAAUUUUUUAUGAAAAUUAAAAUUUUAUUUUAUUUUAUUUUGUAAUAAUGAUUAAAUUAGUAUACAUAUUAAUUUAAUUUUUAAUUUUUUAAUUAAAUUGAUUUAAGGAAUUCGGCAAAUAUAGUUUUCGCCUGUUUAUCAAAAACAUGUCUUUAUGUUUUUAUUUAAGGUCGGGCCUGCUCAAUGAUUAUUAAAUAGCCGCAGUAUUUUGACUGUGCAAAGGUAGCAUAAUCAUUAGUUUUUUAAUUGGGAGCUGGAAUGAAGGGUUUGACGAGAAACUAUCUGUCUUAAUUUAAUUUUUAGAAUUUAAUUUUUAAGUGAGAAAGCUUAAAUAUUUUUUAGGGACGAUAAGACCCUUUAGAGUUUUAUAUAAAUAUUUAUAUUAAAAAUAUUAUUUUUUAUUUUUAUAUAAGUGUUUUUAUUUGGUUGGGGUGACUUAAAAAAAUUAAUAACUUUUUAAUGUUGAUACAAAUAUAUUUGAUUUAAUUGAUCCAAUUUUUUUGAUUGUUAGAUAUAAUUACCUAAGGGAUAACAGCGUUAUUUAACUUUAGAGUUCAUAUUAAAAGUUAAGAUUGCGACCUCGAUGUUGGAUUAAAAUAAACUUUUGGUGCAGUUGUUUAAAAGUUAGGUCUGUUCGACCUUUAAAAUUUUACAUGAUCUGAGUUCAGACCGGCGUGAGCCAGGUCGGUUUCUAUCUUAAAAUUAUUAAAACAUUUUAGUACGAAAGGACCAUUUGUUUAAUAUAAUAUUUGAAUAUUGAUUAAUUUU
RNAcentral lists this ribosomal RNA (1272 nucleotides) under Tenomerga trabecula. RNAcentral describes it as "16S ribosomal RNA". The stretch from base 1032 to 1190 matches the Rfam family "Archaeal large subunit ribosomal RNA", at positions 2542 to 2701 of the family's 2987-position model. The record is from RNAcentral. Lineage: Eukaryota; Metazoa; Arthropoda; Insecta; Coleoptera; Cupedidae.